This 254-nucleotide ribosomal RNA is filed under the name uncultured bacterium. RNAcentral's name for it is "partial 16S ribosomal RNA". It matches the Rfam family "Bacterial small subunit ribosomal RNA", at positions 524 to 776 of the family's 1533-position model. The record is from RNAcentral.
UACAGAGGAGCCAAGCGUUGUCCGGAUUGACUGGGCGUAAAGCGCACGCAGGCGGUCGCGCGCGUGGGGUGUGAAAUCUGGCCGCUUAACGGCCAGGCGCCAUCCCAUACGGCGCGACUGGAGUGAUGCAGAGGUCGGUGGAAUUGCCGGUGUAGUGGUGAAAUGCGUAGAGAUCGGCAGGAACACCCCAGGGGGAAACCAGCCGACUGGGCAUCAACUGACGCUGAGGUGCGAGAGCGUGGGGAGCGAACCGG